UACAGAGGGUGCUAGCGUUGUUCGGAAUCAUUGGGCGUAAAGGGCGUGUAGGCGGUUUGUUAAGUCAUGUGUGAAAUCCCUCGGCUCAACCGGGGAAGGACGCAUGAAACUGGCAAGCUAGAGUACCAAAGAGGGGGGUGGAAUUCCGGGCGUAGCGGUGAAAUGCGUAGAUAUCGGGAGGAACACCUGUGGCGAAGGCGGCCCCCUGGUUGGAUACUGACGCUGAUACGCGAAAGCGUGGGGAGCAAACAGG
This 253-nucleotide ribosomal RNA is filed under the name uncultured bacterium. RNAcentral's name for it is "partial 16S ribosomal RNA". It matches the Rfam family "Bacterial small subunit ribosomal RNA", at positions 524 to 776 of the family's 1533-position model. The record is from RNAcentral.